RNAcentral lists this ribosomal RNA (3726 nucleotides) under Klebsiella pneumoniae MGH 66. RNAcentral's name for it is "bacterial LSU rRNA". It matches the Rfam family "Bacterial large subunit ribosomal RNA". Lineage: Bacteria; Pseudomonadati; Pseudomonadota; Gammaproteobacteria; Enterobacterales; Enterobacteriaceae. The record is from RNAcentral.
UUAAGCGACUAAGCGUACACGGUGGAUGCCCUGGCAGUCAGAGGCGAUGAAGGACGUGCUAAUCUGCGAAAAGCGUCGGUAAGGUGAUAUGAACCGUUAUAACCGGCGAUGUCCGAAUGGGGAAACCCAGUGCAAUUCGUUGCACUAUCGUUAACUGAAUACAUAGGUUAACGAGGCGAACCGGGGGAACUGAAACAUCUAAGUACCCCGAGGAAAAGAAAUCAACCGAGAUUCCCCCAGUAGCGGCGAGCGAACGGGGAGCAGCCCAGAGUCUGAAUCAGCUUGUGUGUUAGUGGAACGGUCUGGAAAGUCCGACGGUACAGGGUGAUAGUCCCGUACACCAAAAUGCACAGGCUGUGAACUCGAAGAGUAGGGCGGGACACGUGGUAUCCUGUCUGAAUAUGGGGGGACCAUCCUCCAAGGCUAAAUACUCCUGACUGACCGAUAGUGAACCAGUACCGUGAGGGAAAGGCGAAAAGAACCCCGGCGAGGGGAGUGAAAAAGAACCUGAAACCGUGUACGUACAAGCAGUGGGAGCACCUUCGGGUGUGACUGCGUACCUUUUGUAUAAUGGGUCAGCGACUUAUAUUCUGUAGCAAGGUUAACCGUAUAGGGGAGCCGCAGGGAAACCGAGUCUUAACUGGGCGUUAAGUUGCAGGGUAUAGACCCGAAACCCGGUGAUCUAGCCAUGGGCAGGUUGAAGGUUGGGUAACACUAACUGGAGGACCGAACCGACUAAUGUUGAAAAAUUAGCGGAUGACUUGUGGCUGGGGGUGAAAGGCCAAUCAAACCGGGAGAUAGCUGGUUCUCCCCGAAAGCUAUUUAGGUAGCGCCUCGUGAACUCAUCUUCGGGGGUAGAGCACUGUUUCGGCUAGGGGGUCAUCCCGACUUACCAACCCGAUGCAAACUACGAAUACCGAAGAAUGUUAUCACGGGAGACACACGGCGGGUGCUAACGUCCGUCGUGAAGAGGGAAACAACCCAGACCGCCAGCUAAGGUCCCAAAGUCAUGGUUAAGUGGGAAACGAUGUGGGAAGGCNAAAGAAAUCAACCGAGAUUCCCCCAGUAGCGGCGAGCGAACGGGGAGCAGCCCAGAGUCUGAAUCAGCUUGUGUGUUAGUGGAACGGUCUGGAAAGUCCGACGGUACAGGGUGAUAGUCCCGUACACCAAAAUGCACAGGCUGUGAACUCGAAGAGUAGGGCGGGACACGUGGUAUCCUGUCUGAAUAUGGGGGGACCAUCCUCCAAGGCUAAAUACUCCUGACUGACCGAUAGUGAACCAGUACCGUGAGGGAAAGGCGAAAAGAACCCCGGCGAGGGGAGUGAAAAAGAACCUGAAACCGUGUACGUACAAGCAGUGGGAGCACCUUCGGGUGUGACUGCGUACCUUUUGUAUAAUGGGUCAGCGACUUAUAUUCUGUAGCAAGGUUAACCGUAUAGGGGAGCCGCAGGGAAACCGAGUCUUAACUGGGCGUUAAGUUGCAGGGUAUAGACCCGAAACCCGGUGAUCUAGCCAUGGGCAGGUUGAAGGUUGGGUAACACUAACUGGAGGACCGAACCGACUAAUGUUGAAAAAUUAGCGGAUGACUUGUGGCUGGGGGUGAAAGGCCAAUCAAACCGGGAGAUAGCUGGUUCUCCCCGAAAGCUAUUUAGGUAGCGCCUCGUGAACUCAUCUUCGGGGGUAGAGCACUGUUUCGGCUAGGGGGUCAUCCCGACUUACCAACCCGAUGCAAACUACGAAUACCGAAGAAUGUUAUCACGGGAGACACACGGCGGGUGCUAACGUCCGUCGUGAAGAGGGAAACAACCCAGACCGCCAGCUAAGGUCCCAAAGUCAUGGUUAAGUGGGAAACGAUGUGGGAAGGCACAGACAGCCAGGAUGUUGGCUUAGAAGCAGCCAUCAUUUAAAGAAAGCGUAAUAGCUCACUGGUCGAGUCGGCCUGCGCGGAAGAUGUAACGGGGCUAAACCAUGCACCGAAGCUGCGGCAGCGACACUAUGUGUUGUUGGGUAGGGGAGCGUUCUGUAAGCCUGCGAAGGUGACCUGUGAGGGUUGCUGGAGGUAUCAGAAGUGCGAAUGCUGACAUAAGUAACGAUAAAGCGGGUGAAAAGCCCGCUCGCCGGAAGACCAAGGGUUCCUGUCCAACGUUAAUCGGGGCAGGGUGAGUCGACCCCUAAGGCGAGGCCGAAAGGCGUAGUCGAUGGGAAACAGGUUAAUAUUCCUGUACUUGGUGUUACUGCGAAGGGGGGACGGAGAAGGCUAUGUUAGCCGGGCGACGGUUGUCCCGGUUUAAGCAUGUAGGCUGGUUGUCCAGGCAAAUCCGGAUAAUCAAGGCUGAGGUGUGAUGACGAGGCACUACGGUGCUGAAGUAACAAAUGCCCUGCUUCCAGGAAAAGCCUCUAAGCAUCAGGUAACAUCAAAUCGUACCCCAAACCGACACAGGUGGUCAGGUAGAGAAUACCAAGGCGCUUGAGAGAACUCGGGUGAAGGAACUAGGCAAAAUGGUGCCGUAACUUCGGGAGAAGGCACGCUGGUGUGUAGGUGAAGCCCCUGCGGGUGGAGCUGAGACCAGUCGAAGAUACCAGCUGGCUGCAACUGUUUAUUAAAAACACAGCACUGUGCAAACACGAAAGUGGACGUAUACGGUGUGACGCCUGCCCGGUGCCGGAAGGUUAAUUGAUGGGGUUAUCCGUAAGGAGAAGCUCUUGAUCGAAGCCCCGGUAAACGGCGGCCGUAACUAUAACGGUCCUAAGGUAGCGAAAUUCCUUGUCGGGUAAGUUCCGACCUGCACGAAUGGCGUAAUGAUGGCCAGGCUGUCUCCACCCGAGACUCAGUGAAAUUGAACUCGCUGUGAAGAUGCAGUGUACCCGCGGCAAGACGGAAAGACCCCGUGAACCUUUACUAUAGCUUGACACUGAACAUUGAGCCUUGAUGUGUAGGAUAGGUGGGAGGCUUUGAAGCGUGGACGCCAGUCUGCGUGGAGCCAACCUUGAAAUACCACCCUUUAAUGUUUGAUGUUCUAACGUUGGCCCCUGACCGGGGUUGCGGACAGUGUCUGGUGGGUAGUUUGACUGGGGCGGUCUCCUCCCAAAGCGUAACGGAGGAGCACGAAGGUUAGCUAAUCCUGGUCGGACAUCAGGAGGUUAGUGCAAUGGCAUAAGCUAGCUUGACUGCGAGCGUGACGGCGCGAGCAGGUGCGAAAGCAGGUCAUAGUGAUCCGGUGGUUCUGAAUGGAAGGGCCAUCGCUCAACGGAUAAAAGGUACUCCGGGGAUAACAGGCUGAUACCGCCCAAGAGUUCAUAUCGACGGCGGUGUUUGGCACCUCGAUGUCGGCUCAUCACAUCCUGGGGCUGAAGUAGGUCCCAAGGGUAUGGCUGUUCGCCAUUUAAAGUGGUACGCGAGCUGGGUUUAGAACGUCGUGAGACAGUUCGGUCCCUAUCUGCCGUGGGCGCUGGAGAAUUGAGGGGGGCUGCUCCUAGUACGAGAGGACCGGAGUGGACGCAUCACUGGUGUUCGGGUUGUCAUGCCAAUGGCACUGCCCGGUAGCUAAAUGCGGAAGAGAUAAGUGCUGAAAGCAUCUAAGCACGAAACUUACCCCGAGAUGAGUUCUCCCUGAGACUUUAAGUCUCCUGAAGGAACGUUGAAGACGACGACGUUGAUAGGCCGGGUGUGUAAGCGCAGCGAUGCGUUGAGCUAACCGGUACUAAUGAACCGUGAGGCUUAACCUU